UGCAUCCAUAGAAGGUUUACCUGUUACACUCCUACUGUGUUAUAUGGAACAAAAUACCUAUUGCUAUUUUUAUUCCCACUCACGCUCACAAUCACGCAGUUUAAAACGAUGUAGACAGCAUUUUAAUGGGCUUCUGGCAAGAGAGGCUAGAUCAGCUAUUUUCUGCAGGAAAGAUUCUGACUGAUCGAAAUCUCUAAAGUUCUGAAGUAGCAUUUAUGCCAAAAGCUCAUGAAAUACUACAGUUCUUAUUAUUUUUUGGUGGACUGCAGUGCAAUACCCCUGCGCUUGACAUCUACAUAUUUUUAAUUAGCUAGGAGCUUCUCACUUCCACUGUAAGGCCUCACCCCUGACUUGACCUUUUGAAGCUAAUCCAAAGUAAGUCCUGGUUUUCUCAAAAAAAAAAAAAACUGUUUAGAAUUUAUUAUCUACUAAUUUCACUUUGUGUUUAUGGUAAGGAUUAGGCAUUCUUUCAAUUAUUUCGGUACAUGUAUUAACAAGAACAGGCCUGGGACUGUCACUGCUAGCAUGUUAGCAUGCUAAUUUUAGGACGUAGCUCACAGCUAAAUGCUUACAAAACGACUGAAAAAUGACACACAAAAUAUAUUUUUUUUAUGUAACUUUUGUUUAUAUAAGAGGGUCAAGCAACCCACCAGAACAAAAUUAUAGCCACAUCCACCAACACCUCUGCUUUGGAGGCCGACAAGUCUGCUGGCUAGAUGUAGCACUCCCACUCUGAAAUCCACAAAAUCCCACACGCAUCCAGUCUUAGACAAGUGCACUCCCACUGUUUGGCUAUCUCCAGCUACUGAGGCGCUACAUUAUGUCUUUCUUCCUCUAUCCCACUGUACUGAAAUGCAGUUGUUGUUUUUUUUUAAAUAAAUGUCAAAUUUUAAUAGAAACGUGUCGCCUGAAUCCAAACAAAGUCAUCGCUCCACUUGAAGUGAACGGCUGAGAAUCUGCCAAGGCAUUUGCAAUAGUUUAUUGGGUCGAUAUCACUGCAUUCAAAGAGCUGCUUUUUCUUUGUUUAAUUGACCAUUAGACGGGGAAUUUGACAGAACUUCCACUGAAUUGAGUGAAUGAACGCACAGAAGCCACAGCUCACAAACGGGGCAGGGAGAUGGAGUUGGGGGACAUCAGGAUGCAGAGAGAGGGAGAGACAGAAGCAGACCAGCAGGUGAGAGACAGUAACACACAACAGUAGAUAUUUUAAUUCAAUGUUUGUGGCUGAAAAUGACAGGAGGAAAAAAAAAACAUUUUGGAUUCUUUGCCUCAGUCUGUGUGUUUCAACCUUUUUAGAGUCAUGGCUCAUGUUUGGCAAAUUACUGAAUGCAGGGCUGGAAAGUGAGACGGCACACUGAGUUAUCAGUGAGAAGCUAAGGCAGUGGUGCCCAAAGUCGGUCCUGGAGGGCCGGCAUCCUGUAUGUUUCAGUUCUCUCCCUGGUUUAACGCACCUGGUUCAAAUAAUGGCUCAGUAGAAGCCCUAAGAAGAACACUGACAUGCUGAAGAGGUUGUUACUACCACUGGGGAGAGAACGAGGACAGGCAGGGUGCCGGACCUCGAGGACCGACUCUGGGCACCACCGAGCUAAGGUGUUUGUUAGAUGUGAAAAAUAUCAUUUUUAUUCAUUUUUGUAGAUCAAACUGUUUCACUGAUGUAGAGAGUUGUUCAAGAAGAACAAAGAUUGUUUUUUUAGACUUUAGUUUUCUUGGUCAAACUGCUGUAUUGAGUGUAAAACUGCCGAAUCCUAUUUUAUGAGCUGUUUUUUACUUAAGGUUUUAGAAAGAGGCGGAACCAGUUCAAUUGCCAGUCAACAUAUGUAAAUGCAGUUUCAGCCAAUAAUCACAUGUAUCUUGACCAAUAAAAUAUAUCAGAAUCUGGUAGCUUGUGUGUGCUGCCAGAGUUUUUAGCUUGCUAGUUGCGAGGCAAAUGAUGAAGUGAGUGUUCAGUCCUGGAGUGACGGUCAUUUUGUUUGAUUAAAGAUGCAAGUCAUUUUGUUCAAGAGGAA
Molecule: long non-coding RNA, 2006 nt
Organism: Xiphophorus couchianus (Monterrey platyfish)
Lineage: Eukaryota; Metazoa; Chordata; Actinopteri; Cyprinodontiformes; Poeciliidae
Exons: 2
Source: RefSeq, a predicted model, not a curated record